Small nucleolar RNA from Cebus imitator (Panamanian white-faced capuchin), 65 nucleotides. RefSeq annotates it as small nucleolar RNA SNORD37. The transcript has a single exon. Lineage: Eukaryota; Metazoa; Chordata; Mammalia; Primates; Cebidae. The record is from RefSeq and is a predicted model, not a curated record.
GUAGGUGAUGACCAGCAGUUUUUGACUUUGACCUGAUGUCUGUUGAAGACAUCUAGCUUCAGAGG